Molecule: long non-coding RNA, 846 nt
Filed under: Sorghum bicolor (sorghum)
Lineage: Eukaryota; Viridiplantae; Streptophyta; Magnoliopsida; Poales; Poaceae
Description: long non-coding RNA (SBIC_LNC000419)
Source: RNAcentral
CCAGGGCCGUGCCGGCAAAAAUUAAGGCCAUGUUCUAAGAUCUAAAAUAGGCUGACUUAUAGCACUAGGUAACUAAGAAUAUUUUCUAUACAAGCCACGAAUUAUAGGUAUAUCUUAAAAGAAUUCGGCUACUUGUUGGUUUCUAGCCUCCAAGUACCAAUUAUCUCAUUUGUUUUAUGGAUCCAUGACACUAUAAUAUAUAGUUUGACACUUGCCAACACACCUUCUUCCAAUAUCCAUCGCCAACGCUCUUUAUUUUGCACUUUAUAGUGUUAGCGGUUGAGUAUUGACUCGAGAUUCCUUAGCUAUCCUAUGGAGACGUGACUCAGCAAGUUGAAUUACACACAGAGUAGGCAGACUGAUGAAAAAACGACUUACAUAAAACUAUAUGGUGCUAAAUAAGAAGAAAUAAUGUAGCAAUUUUUAUAGUUGGCACAAGUAUUUAUCAUAAACUCCACGCAGAAAAGUUAACAUAAAUUAUUUAAUAUUAAUUAUUAAUGAGCUAUAAUUUUGAGACCCCUAAAAAUUUGAGGCCCUGUACAGUCGCACGGCCCGCACACCCUUGUGCACGCCAUGCUACCGAUCAUAACCCGUAGAGAUGCCUUGGGAAACUAUCACAACCGUUGUUAAACAUAUGUACUUUUUAUGUAAUAGAAUAUUAAAAGAAAUGUUUUUCACUAACGCCAUCCUAUUUUUUCACUAGUGGUACACACAAAAGUAAACGUCAGUCAGUGUCUAUGUCUAAGAACCGUGAAAUUAUAUAUUUCCACUUGUGAUCUGUAACACGACCACUAGAAGAAAGUCCUAUUUUCACUAGCGGUUGUUUUAAAAAAUAUAUAUAUUGAC